This 275-nucleotide ribosomal RNA is filed under the name uncultured bacterium. RNAcentral describes it as "partial 16S ribosomal RNA". It matches the Rfam family "Bacterial small subunit ribosomal RNA", at positions 523 to 796 of the family's 1533-position model. The record is from RNAcentral.
AUACGUAGGGGGCAAGCGUUGUCCGGAAUUACUGGGCGUAAAGAGCUCGUAGGCGGCUCAGCAAGUCGGUCGUGAAAGCCCGAGGCUCAACCUCGGAACUGCGGUCGAUACUGCUGUGGCUAGAGUCCGGUAGAGGAGAGUGGAAUUCCCGGUGUAGCGGUGGAAUGCGCAGAUAUCGGGAGGAACACCAGUGGCGAAGGCGGCUCUCUGGGCCGGUACUGACGCUGAGGAGCGAAAGCAUGGGGAGCAAACAGGAUUAGAAACCCUAGUAGUCC